This 244-nucleotide ribosomal RNA is filed under the name uncultured bacterium. Its description in RNAcentral is "partial 16S ribosomal RNA". It matches the Rfam family "Bacterial small subunit ribosomal RNA", at positions 90 to 334 of the family's 1533-position model. The record is from RNAcentral.
ACUGAGUGGCGGACGGGUGAGUAACGCGUGGGUAACCUGCCUUGUACUGGGGGACAACAGUUAGAAAUGACUGCUAAUACCGCAUAAGACCACAGCACCGCAUGGUGUAGGGGUAAAAACUCCGGUGGUAUGAGAUGGACCCGCGUCUGAUUAGGUAGUUGGUGGGGUAACGGCCUACCAAGCCGACGAUCAGUAGCCGACCUGAGAGGGUGACCGGCCACAUUGGGACUGAGACACGGCCCAA